GUGUUUUUGGUCUGCAACACGCUCCCUUUAAAAAGCAUCAGAGUAACUAGCAUUUCCUUGCUGAGAACCCCGAUUUCAGUAGAUCAGAAGAAAGAAUUCAUCAGCCUAUCCAAACAACUUCUCUGGAGCAGCUUUCUAUCCAACCACGCCGGGCACCAAGAGACAAGUGAGCUGGGGGUGGGGGGUGGGGGGGUGGUAAGAACUGACAACAGGCUUAUCUGCAUAGAUGAACGACAUGCAGACAUUUGUCGUCUUCUGUUUUGGCGACUCUUGGCACUUCUGGCACCGGUCUGGCAAAUCUAACCCCGGCAUUCUCCCUGUCUGGUGUCCCCACACUCCCACCCCCCGCCCCAGUUGCUGAAGCGUCACGUUCUCGGGGCUGGGGGAGAGAAGCCGGGGGAACGCACAAGUCUGUUACUGCAUUUAGGCUGGAACCAUACCGCACCUGUUCAAUCCGGCUCCCGAGCCAGAAAUGACCAGAACACCGACUCGCAAGACCCUCUGUGAGAUCCCAGGGACGCCUAACAAGUUCGCCGCUGUUUAAUACCGGGGGACGGUGAUGGGAGACCUCUCUUUCUGCAGCGAAACUCAGAUGGAAACACUGGACUCAGAGAAGUAACAAGCUCAAGGUCACGCAGCUGGUCUUCUGAGACAAUGUGCAGAACAUACCUUAGAACUGUGGCACUAACUCUCCAGCUGUUCCAGCCUGCUAUGCCUCGGGGGCAAGUUUGUUCCUGUAGCCAAGAAAGCCCGCAGGUAUAAGGAACAGGUGUUUGAGAAGGCUUCCAGGGACUAAGGUCCCCAACCAGGUGGAGCCUGGAAACUACAGGCUAAGACCCCAGACUGGUCAGAACCUAAGGAACAAUGAUGUUGACCUCUUCUGACCCUCACGACUUCCAUCAACUAAAGCUUGGACUCUGAACAUGACUACUCCCUCAUGGUCCAAGAGCUACUACUAGAGCCCCAGCCAUCACCUUUGCAUUCAAAGCAGCAGGAAGAAGGAAUGGAUAAAAAAAUGAAAGUCUCUUCCCUUUAUGGAUACUUUAUAGAAGUUGCACAUGAUGUUUCUAAUUUCAUCUGUAUCUAUCAGACUUCAAGUGAUUCUAAGUGUUAUGGGAAAAAGAAUUUAUUAUGGAAAAAUAGACCCUACAGUUUGGGAGAAGAUGCAGAAAGUUGGAGGGUCAGAGGAGGCAUCACCAACUGGUCAUUCUGAGAAGCCAAACACAUUGAGCUGCUGAAGGGGCUGGGAAGGGGGAACACAUGAUGAGAUCUAUGGGAAGCUGCUACCACGUUGGGGGUCCUCAGCCAAACAUCUGGGGAGGGUCAGCAGGGCCCAGAGUUGGGACAAAGAGGUGGACAUGCAACAGAAGAGAGUAAGUUCCAGCUGGAAACUAUUGGACACCUCUGUAUCCAUCUGUCACCACACUGAACAACAAAGUGACCAAAGUGACCGUUGACUCACUUCUGCCUCUUAAAUUUCAUGAGUUCCUCUUUUGGCCAACUAUACCUUGGAACCACACACAAUAUGUAAUUCUGAGAAAUAGAGCUCCAAGUUUAACCAAGAUGACACAGCACAAACCACCAAAAUCCACCCUUCGUCACCCUGGCAUGCAUAUACAUGUUUUUUUUUUAAAUCUACAUUGAAUUUUCAAAGAAAGAUAAUAGUGAAAUCAUGUGUCCAAUUAACGUAAUGUAGGUAUUCCUCAUAUAGCAGAAAAAUGCAAACCCUUUUCCCAAAAAAGGCUACUCAGAAGAUCGUAUGUAAACUUUGUCCCUUAUUGAAUGAUGUUCAUUCUCUUCUAGCUGAGUUAUACUGUGAUAGCCUUUCACUUAAACACUGAAAUAUAAAGCUAACUGCUAUUAAUACGUUCCAUGUCAGAUGGUAGGUAAAUUGGGAAAAGAAAAAUAAAGAUGUAUUGGUUAAUA
Molecule: non-coding RNA, 1926 nt
Organism: Vicugna pacos (alpaca)
Lineage: Eukaryota; Metazoa; Chordata; Mammalia; Artiodactyla; Camelidae
Source: RefSeq, a predicted model, not a curated record